This 116-nucleotide ribosomal RNA is filed under the name uncultured archaeon. RNAcentral's name for it is "partial 16S ribosomal RNA". The record is from RNAcentral.
CCUUCGUUAGGGCAGCGGGGGGAAACCUUUACAUAGUGGGCAAGCAUCAUAAGGGAGCACCGAUGCCAGCCACAAUACGACGGUCCAUGGCGUAUAAAAACACUUGACUGAGGAAU